Misgurnus anguillicaudatus (oriental weatherfish) is the source of this 553-nucleotide long non-coding RNA. RefSeq lists it as uncharacterized. The record is from RefSeq and is a predicted model, not a curated record. NCBI's taxonomy places the organism in Eukaryota, Metazoa, Chordata, Actinopteri, Cypriniformes, Cobitidae.
UAAAUAUUCAAUAUGUCAUAAAACAAUAUCACUAUUUAGAAUAUAUUUUGACUAGUGUGUUUAUGCCUCAACAAGUCUUGUUUACGCGACUAUCUGUUCGGGUGUAAAUGUAUCGAUGUAGUAUCGAUGUGCUGUAAAUGUGUCCGGAGAUUUGUAAUGUGUUAAUGUUUAGCCAUAAAUAUGUCCGGUAAUGGCCCGUUAACAAAGAUAUACCGCAUCUAUGUACCCAAUUAUCUUAUCUCAACUAUGCUUUACCGCCUUAGUAUUGCUUUAUAAGUUUGUUACUGUGGAGAAUACAUUAUAUUAAUUAUUAAAAACUUUUGUAGGAAUGUGGCAGCAUCACUCUCCUCUUCAGCGGGCAUUUGCAGAAAUGCGACGGACAUUCAUACAGGUAACGUGGCUUCAUCAUCAUUUACUCGCACGGGGGCAUGCAGAAACGAACCCGAAAUAAAUAAAGUGAUACAAUUUAUAUAUAUAUUUUUUAAGGUAAAAUGUAAGGCAAAAUUUGUUUAAUUAUUCCUCAUAACAUUUUUAUGCCACGAUCUACAGAACA